This 253-nucleotide ribosomal RNA is filed under the name uncultured bacterium. Its description in RNAcentral is "partial 16S ribosomal RNA". It matches the Rfam family "Bacterial small subunit ribosomal RNA", at positions 524 to 776 of the family's 1533-position model. The record is from RNAcentral.
UACGUAGGGUCCGAGCGUUGUCCGGAAUUACUGGGCGUAAAGAGCUCGUAGGUGGUUUGUCGCGUUGUUCGUGAAAACUCACAGCUCAACUGUGGGCGUGCGGGCGAUACGGGCAGACUAGAGUACUGCAGGGGAGACUGGAAUUCCUGGUGUAGCGGUGGAAUGCGCAGAUAUCGGGAGGAACACCGGUGGCGAAGGCGGUUCUCUGGGCCUGUUCUGACGCUGAGGAGCGAAAGCGUGGGGAGCGAACAGG